Sinocyclocheilus grahami is the source of this 602-nucleotide long non-coding RNA. RefSeq lists it as uncharacterized. The record is from RefSeq and is a predicted model, not a curated record. Lineage: Eukaryota; Metazoa; Chordata; Actinopteri; Cypriniformes; Cyprinidae. The transcript is spliced from 3 exons.
UUGCUAGGCAGUUGCUAGGGUGUUCUGGGUGGUUGCUAGGCAGUUUCUAGGGUGUUCUGGGGAAAUGAGAAAACCAAAGGUGCUAUGGUGUUAUGGGUGGUUGCUAGGUAGUUGCUAGGGUGUUCUGGGUGGUUGCCAGGCAGUUGCUAGGGUGUUCUGUGGAAAUGAGAAAACCAAAGUUGCUAGGGUGAUACUAGGUGGUUGCUAGGGUGUUCUGGGUGGUUGCUAGGGUGUUCUGGGGAAAUGAGAAAACCAAAGUUGCUAGGGUGAUACUAGGUGGUUGCUAGGGUGUUCUGGGUGGUUGCUAGGCAGUUGCUAGGGUGUUCUGGGGAAAUGAGAAAACCAAAGUUGCAAGGGUGUUACUAGGCGGUUGCUAGGGUGUUCUAGGUGAUUGCUAAGCAGUUGCUACGGUGUUCUGGGGAAAUGAGAAAACCAAAGUUGCUAGGGUGUUACUAGGCGGUUGCUAGGGUGUUCUGGGUGGUUGCUAGGCAGUUGCUAGGGUGUUCUGGGGAAAUGAGAAAACCAAAGUUGAUAGGGUGUUACUAGGCGGUUGUUAGGGUGUUCUGGGUGGUUGCUAGGCAGUUGCUAGGGUGUUCUGGGGA